RNAcentral lists this ribosomal RNA (949 nucleotides) under fungal sp. RNAcentral's name for it is "partial large subunit ribosomal RNA". It matches the Rfam family "Eukaryotic large subunit ribosomal RNA", at positions 81 to 952 of the family's 3401-position model. Lineage: Eukaryota; Fungi. The record is from RNAcentral.
UAGUAACGGCGAGUGAAGCGGGAAGAGCUCAAAUUUAAAAUCUGGCUUGCUUGCAAGUCCGAGUUGUAGUCUGAAGAAACGUUUUCCAUGAAAGCUGAGGCACAAGUCCUUUGGAACAGGGCAUCAUAGAGGGUGAGAAUCCCGUCCAUGGUCUCAUGCAUUUCAUUUUGUGAUACGUUUUCUAAGAGUCAGGUUGUUUGGGAAUGCAGCCUAAAAUGGGUGGUAAAUUUCAUCUAAAGCUAAAUAUUGGCGAGAGACCGAUAGCGAACAAGUACCGUGAGGGAAAGAUGAAAAGAACUUUGAAAAGAGAGUUAAAAAGUACGUGAAAUUGUUGAAAGGGAACCGUUUGAAGCCAGUCUUGCUUACUUGUGAUCAAUCUUAGCUUCGGCUUGGAUGCACUCUCGAGUUAUGCAGGUCAACGUCAGUUUGAGAGGUGGGAAAAAAGUUUGAGGAAUGUGGCCUUCGGGUGUUAUAGCCUCUUACUAAAUACCAUCUCCUGGACUGAGGCUCGCAGCAAAAAUGUGGGUUGGUUUGCUCCUGAGGUGAAUCAUUAUUAAGACAGCUUGCUGACUUAGUUUUGUGGAUCUUCACGGUAGACCAGCUUCUAAUUUGCUUAGGUCGUUGACAUAAUGGCUUUAAAUGACCCGUCUUGAAACACGGACCAAGGAGUCUAACAUAUAUGCGAGUAUUUGGGUGUCAAACCCACAUGCGCAAUGAAAGUGAAAUUAGGUGCCAAACCCGCAAGGGUGGCAGCAUCGGCCGGCUUUAACGUUUCUAACUGACGAGUCUGAGCAGAAGCAUACAUGUUGGGACCCGAAAGAUGGUGAACUAUGCCUGAAUAGGGUGAAGCCAGAGGAAACUCUGGUGGAGGCUCGUAGCGAUUCUGACGUGCAAAUCGAUCGUCAAAUUUGGGUAUAGGGGCGAAAGACUAAUCGAACAUCUAGUAGCU